Molecule: ribosomal RNA, 1653 nt
Filed under: Salmonella enterica subsp. enterica serovar Bovismorbificans
Lineage: Bacteria; Pseudomonadati; Pseudomonadota; Gammaproteobacteria; Enterobacterales; Enterobacteriaceae
Description: partial 23S ribosomal RNA
Rfam family: Bacterial large subunit ribosomal RNA
Source: RNAcentral
GCUGACAUAAGUAACGAUAAAGCGGGUGAAAAGCCCGCUCGCCGGAAGACCAAGGGUUCCUGUCCAACGUUAAUCGGGGCAGGGUGAGUCGACCCCUAAGGCGAGGCCGAAAGGCGUAGUCGAUGGGAAACGGGUUAAUAUUCCCGUACUUGGUGUUACUGCGAAGGGGGGACGGAGAAGGCUAUGUUGGCCGGGCGACGGUUGUCCCGGUUUAAGCGUGUAGGCUGGUUUUCCAGGCAAAUCCGGUAACUUUAACACUGAGGCGUGAUGACGAGGCACUACGGUGCUGAAGCAACAAAUGCCCUGCUUCCAGGAAAAGCCUCUAAGCAUCAGGUAACAUCAAAUCGUACCCCAAACCGACACAGGUGGUCAGGUAGAGAAUACCAAGGCGCUUGAGAGAACUCGGGUGAAGGAACUAGGCAAAAUGGUGCCGUAACUUCGGGAGAAGGCACGCUGACACGUAGGUGAAGUGAUUUACUCAUGGAGCUGAAGUCAGUCGAAGAUACCAGCUGGCUGCAACUGUUUAUUAAAAACACAGCACUGUGCAAACACGAAAGUGGACGUAUACGGUGUGACGCCUGCCCGGUGCCGGAAGGUUAAUUGAUGGGGUCAGCGCAAGCGAAGCUCCUGAUCGAAGCCCCGGUAAACGGCGGCCGUAACUAUAACGGUCCUAAGGUAGCGAAAUUCCUUGUCGGGUAAGUUCCGACCUGCACGAAUGGCGUAAUGAUGGCCAGGCUGUCUCCACCCGAGACUCAGUGAAAUUGAACUCGCUGUGAAGAUGCAGUGUACCCGCGGCAAGACGGAAAGACCCCGUGAACCUUUACUAUAGCUUGACACUGAACAUUGAGCCUUGAUGUGUAGGAUAGGUGGGAGGCUUUGAAGUGUGGACGCCAGUCUGCAUGGAGCCGACCUUGAAAUACCACCCUUUAAUGUUUGAUGUUCUAACGUGGACCCGUUACCCGGGUUGCGGACAGUGUCUGGUGGGUAGUUUGACUGGGGCGGUCUCCUCCUAAAGAGUAACGGAGGAGCACGAAGGUUGGCUAAUCCUGGUCGGACAUCAGGAGGUUAGUGCAAUGGCAUAAGCCAGCUUGACUGCGAGCGUGACGGCGCGAGCAGGUGCGAAAGCAGGUCAUAGUGAUCCGGUGGUUCUGAAUGGAAGGGCCAUCGCUCAACGGAUAAAAGGUACUCCGGGGAUAACAGGCUGAUACCGCCCAAGAGUUCAUAUCGACGGCGGUGUUUGGCACCUCGAUGUCGGCUCAUCACAUCCUGGGGCUGAAGUAGGUCCCAAGGGUAUGGCUGUUCGCCAUUUAAAGUGGUACGCGAGCUGGGUUUAGAACGUCGUGAGACAGUUCGGUCCCUAUCUGCCGUGGGCGCUGGAGAACUGAGGGGGGCUGCUCCUAGUACGAGAGGACCGGAGUGGACGCAUCACUGGUGUUCGGGUUGUCAUGCCAAUGGCACUGCCCGGUAGCUAAAUGCGGAAGAGAUAAGUGCUGAAAGCAUCUAAGCACGAAACUUGCCCCGAGAUGAGUUCUCCCUGAGACUUAGAGUCUCCUGAAGGAACGUUGAAGACGACGACGUUGAUAGGCCGGGUGUGUAAGCGCAGCGAUGCGUUGAGCUAACCGGUACUAAUGAACCGUGAGGCUUAACCUUACA